AGCGAACGCUGGCGGCAGGCCUAACACAUGCAAGUCGAACGAACUCUUCGGAGUUAGUGGCGGACGGGUGAGUAACACGUGGGAGCGUGCCUUUAGGUUCGGAAUAACUCAGGGAAACUUGUGCUAAUACCGAAUGUGCCCUUCGGGGGAAAGAUUUAUCGCCUUUAGAGCGGCCCGCGUCUGAUUAGCUAGUUGGUGAGGUAAAGGCUCACCAAGGCGACGAUCAGUAGCUGGUCUGAGAGGAUGAUCAGCCACAGUGGGACUGGGAAACGGCCCAAACUCCUACGGGAGGCAGCAGUGGGGAAUCUUGCGCAAUGGGCGAAAGCCUGACGCAGCCAUGCCGCGAGAAUGAUGAAGGUCUUAGGAUUGUAAAAUUCUUUCACCGGGGACGAUAAUGACGGUACCCGGAGAAGAAGCCCCGGCUAACUUCGUGCCAGCAGCAGCCGCCG
Molecule: ribosomal RNA, 449 nt
Filed under: uncultured bacterium
Lineage: Bacteria
Description: partial 16S ribosomal RNA
Rfam family: Bacterial small subunit ribosomal RNA
Source: RNAcentral